GUAACAUGCUCGUGACGAGCAUUUUCUGAAAAUCAAGCCUACUCCAGGGUAUAAAAUCAAGAAAGCUUAAUAUAUCCGGUUAAAUUGUAUUUGGAAGGUUUCUAAUAUUGAUAUCGUUCUAACAUACAGAGGAAGCAUGUCAAGUGGGCAACCAAAGAGCGGAUAUGGGGACUCGAAGGCCAAUCAGGACAAUAAGAGCGACCAGUGCAACCCGAACAACCCUAGCUACCAGGGCCAUCAAACUGGGUACACGGGCACAGGGACAAAACCUGACCUUGAUAACCAUGGUAACCAGAAGAAUCCGAACAACGAGCGUUUCCAAGCGCCGAAAAAAUGACCCGACGGGUGGCUUGACAUUUAUGUGAUUUAUGGUUACGACUGCCCAUCAUUGUAACGAAUAAAACAGAUACAAACAUAAAA
Dreissena polymorpha is the source of this 420-nucleotide long non-coding RNA. RefSeq lists it as uncharacterized. The transcript has 3 exons. The record is from RefSeq and is a predicted model, not a curated record. NCBI's taxonomy places the organism in Eukaryota, Metazoa, Mollusca, Bivalvia, Myida, Dreissenidae.